GAGCUCGUAGGCGGUUUGUCGCGUCUGCUGUGAAAUCCGGAGGCUCAACCUCCGGCCUGCAGUGGGUACGGGCAGACUAGAGUGCGGUAGGGGAGAUUGGAAUUCCUGGUGUAGCGGUGGAAUGCGCAGAUAUCAGGAGGAACACCGAUGGCGAAGGCAGAUCUCUGGGCCGUAACUGACGCUGAGGAGCGAAAGGGUGGGGAGCAAACAGGCUUAGAUACCCUGGUAGUCCACCCCGUAAACGUUGGGAACUAGUUGUGGGGUCCAUUCCACGGAUUCCGUGACGCAGCUAACGCAUUAAGUUCCCCGCCUGGGGAGUACGGCCGCAAGGCUAAAACUCAAAGGAAUUGACGGGGACCCGCACAAGCGGCGGAGCAUGCGGAUUAAUUCGAUGCAACGCGAAGAACCUUACCAAGGCUUGACAUAUACGAGAACGGGCCAGAAAUGGUCAACUCUUUGGACACUCGUAAACAGGUGGUGCAUGGUUGUCGUCAGCUCGUGUCGUGAGAUGUUGGGUUAAGUCCCGCAACGAGCGCAACCCUCGUUCUAUGUUGCCAGCACGUAAUGGUGGGAACUCAUGGGAUACUGCCGGGGUCAACUCGGAGGAAGGUGGGGAUGACGUCAAAUCAUCAUGCCCCUUAUGUCUUGGGCUUCACGCAUGCUACAAUGGCCGGUACAAAGGGCUGCAAUACCGCGAGGUGGAGCGAAUCCCAAAAAGCCGGUCCCAGUUCGGAUUGAGGUCUGCAACUCGACCUCAUGAAGUCGGAGUCGCUAGUAAUCGCAGAUCAGCAACGCUGCGGUGAAUACGUUCCCGGGUCUUGUACACACCGCCCGUCAAGUCAUGAAAGUCGGUAACACCUGAAGCCGGUGGCCUAACCCUUGUGGAGGGAGCCGUCGAAGGUGGGAUCGGUAAUUAGGACGAAGUCGUA
Molecule: ribosomal RNA, 929 nt
Filed under: Microbacterium sp.
Lineage: Bacteria; Bacillati; Actinomycetota; Actinomycetes; Micrococcales; Microbacteriaceae
Description: bacterial SSU rRNA
Rfam family: Bacterial small subunit ribosomal RNA
Source: RNAcentral